CCUUUGACGUUAGCGGCGGGCGGGUGAGUAACACGUGGGUAACCUACCUAUAAGACUGGGAUAACUUCGGGAAACCGGAGCUAAUACCGGAUAAUAUUUCGAACCGCAUGGUUCGAUAGUGAAAGGUGGUUUUGCUAUCACUUAUAGAUGGACCCGCGCCGUAUUAGCUAGUUGGUAAGGUAACGGCUUACCAAGGCGACGAUACGUAGCCGACCUGAGAGGGUGAUCGGCCACACUGGAACUGAGACACGGUCCAGACUCCUACGGGAGGCAGCAGAC
Molecule: ribosomal RNA, 279 nt
Filed under: uncultured Staphylococcus sp.
Lineage: Bacteria; Bacillati; Bacillota; Bacilli; Caryophanales; Staphylococcaceae
Description: partial 16S ribosomal RNA
Rfam family: Bacterial small subunit ribosomal RNA
Source: RNAcentral